AUGCGCACACGCCCGUCGCCCUCGCAGCGCCGCUCGAGAGAGGAAAAAGAUCACCAUGACGGCGAGACACACUUUUUUAAUGUCGUGGGUAAGCCGGGAGGCUUCCUCUUCGGCGAGAGGGCUUCGUCCCGUAGAAGGGCUCCGCCGACCGCUUUCGAUCCGUUGCAAGGGGAUUUUCCUGAGACUAUUGAGGAGUUCUUGCAGCAUGGGAAUAUGAAAUGCAUUGCGUUUAACCGCAGGGGAACUCUCCUUGCAGCUGGAUGUGCAAAUGGUAGCUGUGUUAUCUGGGACUUUGAAACAAGGGGACUUGCAAGAGAAUUUCGUGAUAAAGAUUGUACUGCACCUAUAACCAGUGUCAGCUGGUCUAAAUAUGGUCACCGUUUGCUUGCCUCUGCUACUGAUAAGUCGCUGACGCUUUGGAAUGUGGUAACUGGGGAAAAGAUUGCCCGCAUAACUCUUCAGCAGACUCCAUUGCAUGCCCGUCUUCAUCCUGGUUCAUCCAUCCCAUCUGUAUGCUUAGCAUGUCCUCUCUCUUCUGCACCUAUUCUUGUUGAUUUGAAUACUGGAAGUACCAUAGUCCUUCCAGUUUCUGCAUCUGACAGUGGUAAUGUCCCUUUACCUAAUUCACGUAAAUUUUCGGAUGGUUCUCCUCCUUUUACACCAACUGCUGCAACGUUUGAUAAGAAUGGAGAGCUGAUAUAUGUGGGCAAUUCCAAGGGAGAGAUAUUAAUUGUAGAUUCAAAAGGCAUCCAAGUACUUGGGUUAAUUCCCAUCCCAGGUGGAACAGUUGUUAAGGACAUUGUUUUCAGCAGAGAUGGCCAAUAUCUGCUAACGAACUCUAAUGAUCGUGUCAUUAGAGUCUAUGAGAAUAUUCUGCCCAUUAAUGGUUCUGGGAAGGAGAUUGAAAAAAUAAUCACCAACAACAAUAAUGACUAUGGAAGCAAGUAUGAGAAGCUAAAAGCAAAUGGUGCACGCUGCUUAGUUCUUUCUUGCGAAGUCUCAGAUGCCAUUGCAAAGGUACAGUGGAAGGCACCAUGCUUCAGUGGUGAUGCUGAGUGGAUUGUUGGUGCUUCUGCAAGCAAAGGAGAGCACAGAUUGCACAUAUGGGACCGAGCAGGGCGUCUUAUAAAGAUCCUUGAAGGUCCAAAGGAAGCUCUCAUUGAUCUCGCUUGGCAUCCAUUUGAUCCUACAAUUGCUUCGGUGUCUGUGGCAGGCUUAACAUACAUUUGGGCAAAGGAACAUGUAGAGAAUUGGAGUGCGUUUGCUCCUGAUUUUAUAGAACUAGAAGAAAACGAGGAAUAUGUUGAACGAGAGGACGAGUUCGACAUAAAUGCAUAUGCAGAAAGGGUUGAAGAACUGAUGAUAGAUCAAGAUGCAGAGAUUGAUGUUGAAACAUGUGAGAAGAACUCAUCAUUCAGUGAUUUUGAUGACUCAGCAGACGAGAUCAUCUACUUGCCUGCUAUUCCUUCCCCGGAUGCUCCUGAUGAGCAGCCAGACAAGUGCCUAGUAAGCUCAUCAAAAUUGGAGGACAGCAAUCAUUCUGGUUCCCCCCCAUCCUCAAUGGAUGCUGUGCAGAAUGGUCUAGCCAUUCCUCCCGCAUCUAGUCCAUUGGAAGUUGUUGACAAUUCCAUGGCCGAAGAGCCAUCAGCGGAAGCGGCAAACGCAAAGCGGAAGAGGAGGCUAUCAGCCAAGGGGCUGGAGAUGCAGCAGGCUGAAAAGGUGAAGAAACCACCCAUAAAGAUGUCGUCCAACGGCAAGCUGUCGAAGCCCAAGAGCAAGCCGGUGGUGGAGCCUGUCAACGGCAACAGCUCGGCCAAGAUCAAGCAGCAGGUGGUGGAACCUGUCAAUGGGAACAGCUCGGCUGCCGACAUCGACGACGAAGCGACAGAGGAGGACGAGAUGUAA
Molecule: ribosomal RNA, 1905 nt
Filed under: Triticum aestivum (bread wheat)
Lineage: Eukaryota; Viridiplantae; Streptophyta; Magnoliopsida; Poales; Poaceae
Description: partial small subunit ribosomal RNA
Source: RNAcentral